GAACGCUGGCGGCGUGCCUAAUACAUGCAAGUCGAGCGGACUUUAAAAGCUUGCUUUUAAAGUUAGCGGCGGACGGGUGAGUAACACGUGGGCAACCUGCCUGUAAGACUGGGAUAACUUCGGGAAACCGGAGCUAAUACCGGAUAAUCCUUUUCCUCUCAUGAGGAAAAGCUGAAAGACGGUUUACGCUGUCACUUACAGAUGGGCCCGCGGCGCAUUAGCUAGUUGGUGAGGUAACGGCUCACCAAGGCGACGAUGCGUAGCCGACCUGAGAGGGUGAUCGGCCACACUGGGACUGAGACACGGCCCAGACUCCUACGGGAGGCAGCAGUAGGGAAUCUUCCGCAAUGGACGAAAGUCUGACGGAGCAACGCCGCGUGAGUGAUGAAGGUUUUCGGAUCGUAAAACUCUGUUGUUAGGGAAGA
This 425-nucleotide ribosomal RNA is filed under the name Bacillus sp. R-30733. RNAcentral's name for it is "bacterial SSU rRNA". It matches the Rfam family "Bacterial small subunit ribosomal RNA", at positions 31 to 448 of the family's 1533-position model. Lineage: Bacteria; Bacillati; Bacillota; Bacilli; Caryophanales; Bacillaceae. The record is from RNAcentral.